Molecule: long non-coding RNA, 38609 nt
Filed under: Triticum aestivum (bread wheat)
Lineage: Eukaryota; Viridiplantae; Streptophyta; Magnoliopsida; Poales; Poaceae
Description: long non-coding RNA (TAES_LNC018644)
Source: RNAcentral
GAGGUUGCAUACGGAUUUGCCGUUGUUGACGUUCUUGAGGUCGCAUAUGAAUUUGCCGUUAUUAAAGUUCUUGAGGUCACAUACGGAUUUGCUGUUGUUGGCGGUCUUGAGUUAGUGGGUCUUGAAUUAGCGAGUUGAGCCGAUGUUGCUGAUAUUCUUGAGCCCGUGGGCGGAACUGCCAUUGCUGAUGUUAUUGAUGUGGUGGAAGAAGCCACCCUGGCAGAGAAUCUUGAGGCCCCAGGUGUAGUCACCCUUGGUAAUGUUGUUGAGGCAACUAGCUGAGGCACUGUUGUUGACGGUCUUGAGGUAGCCGCCGGCAUUGGUGUUCUUGGGGUUGUGGACGGACCCGUCGGUGACCUCGCCUUCUUCUGACCAAGAAACUUCCUGGCAACAUGACGCGAUUUAGAUCUUCUUUCUUCUCUUCUUCCAAACUAGAUGACCCGGUUGUGCCAAUGGCACAAGAACCCAGUUAGAAGCGAUGUUAGUAGUGAGUAAGUAGUAUAUGUAGAUGGAAAGAUAAUGCAAUGUAGAUUGUAUGACAAAUAGUAGGAUGACUUAAAUUGAAUUCAGACAAAAAAAAAUGUUUAGAAAAGGAAGUAAGCAAUUGUGGAUAUGAUGGUGGUUACAAUAAUAGUGUUAACUUGGAUUUCAGAAAGUAUUAAUUUCCCUUUUAGGUCUUUUGGGAUAUUGAUGGACGAUCAUACAUAGGGGAAUGUAAAUGGAUUCUUUAUCUAUAUUGGUCAUAGAAGCAGAAAGCUUGUCACCUAAAUAUAAGAAAAUAUUUGCAUUAAACAGCAGGGUUUAGACGCAGCUGGAGAAUAUUACACGGAUCAAACAUAGCAUCAUGGAUUCCAAAUUUAUACAUAUCAGAGACUAGCGCCAAAAGCAGAGAGUGGUGCCAAAAGCAAACAGGUUCUGAGGGUGAAGCUAUACAGACAGAGCUUCAUAGGCUAUUUAGGUAGUUUAGUAGACUGAACAAGAUAACCAAAGAGUCCAGUGCCAAAAGCUUCUUACGGUGACGCUAUACACACAGAACUUCAUAGGCUAAUUAAGUAGUUUAUUAGACUGAACACGAUGCUCAGAGGGCGUGCACGGUGAGACGCAGGUGCUUGUGGUUGCACUUGAAGGCGAAGGCAUAUAUUUCUCUUUCCUUCGUAUUAGCUGCGGGGAAGAAGCCAGCCCAGCCUCUGGUAAUUGUUGCCCUGUUAUCGACUCCUUUGAUUAGACGGGCUUUGAUGUAGGGAUUUCCAUCUCUAGAUUUUAUUGGCAAGUCAUAAAGCUUUGGGUCAAUACAAUGGUGAAGAUAUUUCUUGGUAAAAUUGACUAAGAAAUACUGUAAAUGAAAGGUAACAACACUGAGAAAAGAAAUAUUGGAAAUGAAAGGUAACAACACUAAGAAGAAUUGUAUAUAUAAUUGCAGGUGAUGUGUAUAGGGUCUUGGCAUUCUUUGAGUGGCAAACAUGUGAGCCGCUUCCUGUAUAGCCUCACUUUGUUUCCCCAUCAAUGACCAUCAAAGCUUAGAAAGUAGAUAGUGUCGGGUGCCCCUAUGCAAUGGUAUAUAAAAUGGUUGGUGUAAGCAUAUGCAUUUACUGGUAUUAGUAGAGUAAAUGAAAACAUUGCUUGAUCAUACGGGUUAUGUAGGCCUUGUGUUCAGCCUUCUUCGGUUUUAUAAAUUUAGUUGUAGGUGUUGUAUGAUGAUAAUCAUGAAGAGGGUUUGAAAGAUUAGUAUGAAUAGGAAGGCAAAUGAAAUUCGGAAUAAUGGCAUUACAAUGGUAAUGGUACAUGGUUUUGUACCAUGCGAUGCAUGCUCCUUUUUCUUGUUUUUCUUGGCAUUCAUGCAACGGUGCGAAGGGCCUACAGAGUUAUAAACAGUAAGAGGUUUAAAACCUGAGUAUAAGCAGUGGGUUUUAAAAGUAAAGCUGUCGUGGUGUGCUUACCGGCAUCAUUACUGAUGUUGAUAACAGUUAGUUUGUAGGCUGCGUUGUUAGGCUGAGGAAGCGAUUCGGAAGACCCGCCAUCAACACCACUGUAAAUAACAUUAUAGAUUUUCAGCAAGGAAAUGCCGCAGUUGUUAUUCUGGUUAACUAUGUCCUUUCUUAAUGCUAUGCAAUAGUCCUUGACAUAAAGACAACUCAAAUCAAAAGAAAGCUAGGUAAAUACUUUCAAAGCAUCCAGAUGGUGGGCACAAACAUCAAUACAAAAAGUGAUAUAAAAUAUUAAGAAAUUUUAGGUUCAUUUAUGUUAUUCCAAGCCAAAAUGUCCCAACCAAAGAGUAGUUGUACCAGCAGAAUAAACAUACCAGGUUUUUUUUAGAACAAAGCAGGAAAGCGCCCAUGGCUAGGAAGCCACAAGAACAAACGACCAAACACAGUACCGCUAUUCGUACAGUCGCUAUUGCUACAAUAGAAUGAGAAUUUUUUUCUUAAUGUUCUUUCUCUCGAUGAAAAAACAGGAUGUUUGCAUGCAUUAUAGAAUAAUAUGAAACAAUGAUAAAUUAGUUGUAGCCCAACUCAGCAUAGAGAUUCAUGCAUUAGAGGAUAGUGGGUUUUAGAGAUAUUGUGUAGUUUCCAGACCAGCAGGCAGCUGACCACAAGUCCGGUUGUACUCCUCGGUGAAUCCAGAUCUUGGGCGGGUUGUCAAUGGACGCCCUUGGCAUAUGCCGUUGGUGGCCCCGAUCUCAAAAAGUCCAGUGCAUUCACCUGUGUUUAGAGAGACAUGACACUAUCAAGACAUGACACUAUCAGACAAAUGCAACAAGGGGUAGGAACCAAAGGCAUGCCAGGGAAAGUUCAGUAGACCUCAUGCUGUAACGUCAGCUAAGCGACUUUCUGUUGAUCCUCAAAAAAAAACUAAGCAACUUUCUACUGAGCAACAAAACUAAAAAGUGGUGUUGUAACAACCUGGGUUCUGGUACUGUGGUCGAAAUGAAUCAGCAAGGGUCCAAUCAGAAGCUAAAAUUCUUUAUAGGUUCUGGUACUGACUACAAAAAGAAAAAACUGGAAAUUUUACUUAUGCACAGUAUAAGUGCCUAGCCAUCAAUUUUUUGCAUCAAAUAUCACAGAAUCCUAUAAAUACAUAUAUCAAAAAAAUCUUCUAAUACUCUAGUAACAUAAUCUAAUAAUUAACAUAUUAACUACACUAUUGCUUGAAGGGUCCAAUCAGAAGCUCCUAAUUAUUUUAGUCUGCCUGGCAAUCUCUGUGUUGCAAUCUUCAAGCAUAUUUUAUAACCAACUUAAUUAUUCAUUGAUAAUGAGGAAGAAGAACUACCUGAGCAGCUGAGAGGAGGACUUGUAUACACUAAAAUCCAAUCUUGUCCAGUGAGAGGAUAUUAAGCAUACAUGUCCACUGAACCUACAAUGCCAAUGAUCUGUUGUGAUACGGUCCCUGAAAUUUACGAUGCUAUAUAAAAUAAUUUUGAGUAGUAGGCAACCACACCAUAACUGAAUCUAUCAGCAAGCAAAAGUCACAUUCCAAUUUUGAAGUAAGCAUGCAAUUUCCAAGUUAAAUGCAAACAUACUGUAUGAACCGGAGAGAAUAGAUCUCAAUGGAUUAAAUAAGCAAUAGAUACAAAAUAUGUACCUGAGGCUGAACUUAUUUAGAAACUUAAUAACUAAACUAUAUGUGUGAGCUAGUAAUCUCUCCCAUAUACUGAAAAGGAAAGAUUGCUAGUAAAAGAGUCAACAAGACAACCAAUAUGCCCAAGCUCCAGAGAAAGAAAUAACCCAAAUACACUACCAAAGCAAAGAAAAAGUGACAGGGAAAAGAAAAGAAUGAUCGACCUAAAGAGAUUGUAAGAAAAACAAAAAUAGUCACAAAUCAUUUGUCCUUUCUGAGUUGAAUUACUCCUUCCAAAGCAAAUGGUCAAGCUGGCUGUAGGAAGGAACACCCAAAAACAUGGCAAGAAAAGGGCAUCAGUAAAAAUGAGAAAAAUAUAUCUAUAUGAAUAAUCAUAAGGAGUUGAUGGGAGGGAGAAGCAUACCUAGCAGAAUUUCGCACCGACAUGUUAGGUUUUGUUGAGACGGACACCAAGUCGAGCAUUGGAAUAAAUUGUACACAGACUUGCAAGCACCAUGGAGUACAAUUUCACAACCAAAUCAAAAGUACACAGGUGGAGCACGGUAGGGAAGCAAGGGAAUGGAAGAAGGAGCUCAUAGGGAAGAUGCGACCAUAAAGUGAAGAGGGAGUCCAGCGGUGUAUCCUCAUCUCCUCCCCUGCUGCUCCUCGAUGGUGCGCCCCUCCUACGAUGGCGACCGAAGGAAGUGGCCGGUGGGCAUUGUCGGCAGGGCUGAGCCAUCUUCCUCGCUGGCUCUGUCUUCCCCAUCUUCCUCGGUGUUGACCACUCAGCUAGCUCUAGAGAGAAAUAGAUACAUAAACCGCAAGAAAUAGAUACAGAAACUGCAGCACUUAUCAAUAAAUAUAUGAGUUUAAAAGGGAGCAGUAAGCCCUUUUCUCUCGGUUAAGAGAUCAUGGAGAGAUAAAUAUGAGCUUGCUCGUAAAUAUGCGAUAACAAUUCAAUUGCAUGAAGCCGAGCAAAUCCUUUUUAGGACAUAAAUCUUUGAUUUGGCUAGUACCAAAAUUGGCUAGUAAUUUACCCUUGCCAUCACAAAAAGUACAUGUAGUACCUAACAUGAAAAAGUAAAAAGAGAUGGAAUUAAUCACACCGAUAAAACCACACAUCAAUAAAAAAGAGGGAAUUACAUACAAGAUUAUCCAUGUAAGUCUAGGUGCAUAUGAAGAUUGUACUGAAUAGCAUUUGUACAGAAGAUAUAAAAGAACACCAAAUUACACAUUACUGAAGUGAACAUAGAAACUGGCAGCAAAAUAUAAGAGGAUAAAACUUUGAACAUGUUGAUCGACAAUUCUCUAUAGCUUGCAAAUACACCAAUGAAAGGCAACGUGCAAUUUGAUGAUACAAACCUGGCUAAAGUUAGUAGAGUCAAAGUGCCUAAACCUGAAAGAAAAUAGUGGCACCACAAAAUGCCUCUCAACCACCUGUUGGCUAGAUUUAUUUUAGACGGUGGAGUGUACAACCCCUACAAACUAAAACAAAAAAUAAUAAGCACGAGAAUGGCAAACAAUGCAAAUAAAAAACAGUUCAUUCGGUAGCAACCCACAACGCUAAUGGCUAGUCAAGUGAAAUAUAUAGAUGAAAAUGAUAAAAAAAACAUCCAUAUAUUUAGAUACCAAUAAGGGCAUAUCCAAGCAUUACAUGCAUGACAACCUCAAAUCGAUGGGGUCUGUUUGGUUAGAUCAGAAUGAGCAAAAUGGAAAACAGUUGCAAACAUUCAGCACAAGGGAACAAUGGUGAAGUGACUCACUCUACACUCCAAUCUUGCAUAGCAUCACAGUAAUGCCAGGUCACUCAUGGGAAUUAAAAUAAAUUAAUCACAUCAUGCUACAAAAAAAACAGAAAAGAAAAGUCAAACCCUCUAUCCUAGACCUUCCUCCCUGUGAAUUUCUAAGACACAGGGGCAGCACAAAGGAAGACAUUUUUGCAUAUAAUAUUCAUAAAUGAAGUUUUUACUCAUUAUCCAUUAGUAACAGAGACAGCUUAAUAAUAUGAUUUCUUGGUAGACAAACAAUUACAAGAUGUGACAGUAGUGUGAUGACACAAAUAACAUAUUAAAAUACCAAUAAAUUUAGAAAAAUGGAUGAUGAAUGACUAAAUUUACCAAACCAAAUAAGGUCCAGAUACUACAGGUAAUAACUAAUCACUUGACUAAUUGCAGGUAAUGCAUAAUCGAACUACUGAAAUGGCAUGUACAGGCAGCCACCAAGAUCUGUAAUGCAGUCAUAAACCUGCACAUUAAAAGGCUGAUAUUGUUCUUAUUCAUUACUGCCUCAUACAACAGAUCCGACCAACCUAUAGCUCAGGUGGUGCUCUCCAAGGCGGAGAAAAUGACGACCACCCGACCAGGUUGUGCGCAGCAACGGAAUCCUCUUGCUCGGCCGUGGCGUCGAUUACUGCCGUGUAGUAACACAUCUCUAAGCUGCAGCACAAAAAUCAUUCCUAUUCAGAAGAAAACAGAAGUGCUGACGGGUACGAAAGAAUUUCGUCUGUAGAUACUAAUUAGACCAGGAAGCAACGGAAGUACGAACCAGAGCGCCUGUAGGUACGAAUCCGCAGAGGCUGGCGAACGCGUUGCGCGAGAACCCCGUCCACGCCUCCGGGAAGGAGCCAUUGACGACGUACACGAACUACGUCGCAUUGAUGAGCCACCAGGAGGCGUUGCCGACCAUGGCCGCGCCCAGGAGGCCACGGCCGAGCCUGGCCACGAUGACCCAGUUGAGCAGCGCAUGCACGCCGACCGCUGCGCCUGCAACUCUCACUGCCUCCCAAGAAGGAUGUGCCAGGAUGCGUCGGGAUGGACGCGGAUCAGGACGGGCGGCCUGCGGCGGCGGCGUGCUCCUCCAUUAGGCUGGGAAGCCUUCCUGACCACCCCUGUUGUCGGGUGACCUGCGUGCGAGCGAUUGAAAGGCGAGGAGGAGGAAGAGGCGAGGCGGUGGAGGAGUAGGAGUUGGCGGCCGGGCUCCUAGGGCGGAGAAGGAGGAGGAGGAGGUGGGAGGGAGCGUGGCGGCGGGUGAGGGAGGGAGGAGGAAGGAGCGUGGGGGCUGUGGAUUGGGGAGGGAGAGGGAGGGGCGUGGGGGCUGUGGAUUGGGGUUAGGGUUCACGCGGUUGCCAGCCAAUCAGAAACUGCUCACGCUCCGCCAAUCUUCACGUAACGUACAGAGAAACCCAGCCUCUGGUUGCUGGCCCCCACAGUCUCAGGACCCCACCCGUCAUCCUCUGUUGAAGUGGCCACAGACGUGAAAAAAAUGGACGGUUGGCCAGACGCCAGCUACCAAAAAAAAACACUGUUACCGCCUGAGUAACUCGAUCGCGCGGUCAAAAAACACAGUGCGUGCUCGAUGCCUCCAGAUCGGCGGGUACUUUAGGAGGCUUUAUAUGUUCGAUGAGGUGAGCUGAGCUGAGUGAGGUGGAUGUGGUGUUUGCUUUGCUCCGGUUGGGUUGAGGAAGCCUGCAUCGAUGGGAAUGUAUAUAUAGGAGUAUAAUGGGCUGUUGAGGUGUUCGACCAGUCAGUCUCUUUUGUUUUGUUGGAAGUAGAUAUGCAUAUUCAAUGCAUGCAUUAGUUAUUGAUUGAUGGAUGAAUGGACUAACGGAUGGAUGGAUGCGGUUGGUCAAUGGUCGUGGUCGUCGCCGCGUUGGUCUUCCUUUCUUAUACAUCAGAAUUAGCGUUAGGCUAGUCAUAGUGGGGAGUAACUUAAACUAGCACUAUUAGGAAAAACCUUAUCACAAAAUCUUAACAGCAGCGCGGUUUAAAAACAGACGCUACUGCUAAUUAGCAGUAGCGAGCUUCAGAAUACCGCGCUACUAAUAGCACGGUAGCAGUAGCGGUCUAGGUGAAACAAGCGCUACUACUAUAAUUGCCACGGCGUUGCCCCCAGGCUAGAUAUAGUAGUAGCGCCCUUCCGAAGAUGCGCUACUGCUAACGUACUUAGUAGCAACGUUUUUCUUCAAAACACGCUACUGCUAAGUAUUGCACCUAAUUAAGUUUAGUCCCAUACUGCUAAGCGAACAAGGUGUUUACCACCUUAAAUAUGUUACUUCUCAAACUAUCUCGAGCACUUGGUCUUCAUUGAACUAUAUGUGUAGGAUUUGUGGCUGCCAUAUGAAUCUUCACCAGUGCCUAUAUAGGUACUGUGAGGAUUCAUGUUGACUAUUUAGAUUCUACACAAAAAGAUCAAUGAUGACCAAUGUAUAUUUUUGAAGUUUUUACAUGCUUAGACAUAGCAGUAGCGUUUUUUCAGUGCAAAGCGCUACUGAUAUUAUAAAACAGAAAGGAAUAGCUGUAGCGCAUUUCACUUGACACGCUAUAGCUAACUUAGCUAUAGCACAUUCCAGAAAAACGCGCUACUGCUAGUUUGACUUAACCCCCGGCCGCGCGGGCUUAAAAUUUCGCUAAGUCCUUUGACUCCACUUCCCCCUCUCCCCCAACUGCUCCAUCGCCGCCGUCGCACUGCCGCUCUCGACCUCACCGCCGCCGCCUACCGCCGCCCUCAACCUCACCACCGUCGCCGCCCUCGACGCCGCCCCCGACCCCGACCUCGACGCCGCCCCGACCCCGACAUCGACGGCGCCCUCCGCCGCGUGCCCGAGCCCUGACCCCGUCCUCGACGCCGCCUGCCCCUCCCUUGCCGCAGUCACCAUAAGGCUCUGCCUCUCCUCUCCCCUACCCUCCUUCUCUCUCUGCUAGGGCAAUUCAUAUAUGUGUUGAUGUUCAUAUGAACCCUAGGUGUUCAUAUGAACCCUAGAUUUGUUUAGGGCAGUAGGCAUUUUUUAGCAUUUAAGAAAAAUGCUAAGCAAUUUUUUUAGGAAAUUAGCUAGGGCAAAUGUUUAUGAAAAUGCCUAAAGAGUAAUUUCAUUCAAAAAACAAAAAACAGAAUUGUUUUUCUUUCAAAAACUUGGUUAAACUAAUUGUUGCUAUGUAAACAAAAAACAAGAUUGUUGUUAUAUGAUAUAUGUCAUUGAUGUUCAUUUGCAUAUUCCAUUAUUGAAGUGGUUCGAUUGUGCCCAAGUGGCUUUGUUGUUUCCAGGGAAUGAAGUCGAGUGCCCUAUGUUUUGCCGAAAUGUUGAUUCAUUUCCGUUUCGGCAAAUUUCAGGUUCUCGAUUUGUCCACUUUUUAGUAAAAGUCAUGCCGAAAUUUUCCGUGAAUUUCGGCAUGACUUGUGCUACAAACUAGGACAUAUCGAGUGCCUGGGAUUUGCCGCACCGGGAAGGAGUCAAUAUUCCUGCAAAGCAUAGGCCUUUUUUAUGUCAUUAUUCAUUUUAUUACGUAUAGACUUAAUUGACUAGAUUUAAACGUAAGAACUAGUUGAAUUAAUAGAACUAGUUGAACACGUCACAUUUGUUGUUAUUUUUUUAGUUAAAGCAAUUUUUCCCGCAUCGACGUCGACGAUGCCUAUCCCGCAUCCUCGUCGUCGAGUCGGCGGAGGACACCUGCGUCACCAGAUGGGCCAUGUCCGGGACUGGGCUCCGCCGGGGUGGUACUGGGAGGCGCUACCUACCGGGGGGCACAGGUUGGUGAGGAGCCAGUCUGUCGUUGACCCGAACCUUCUUUGGUGGCGGUCGCGUGGGCCAGUGACGGUCCAGAGGCUUGAGGACCCCGCGGAGGUGGUGCGUCACCAUGUCAGUGAGGAGGACGCGCACGUCCGUCGCUACUUGUUUGCGUUGGAGCACAGGUUCUCCAAUACAUGGCAGGUUCUCCAGGGAUCUCACUAGAGCUAUGAUCUUGUGAUGGUUCCUUCUCUUUGGGUGUCCACCGCCCGCGCCGAUACCCGUCGUGCGCAAGGGUUUUAGUUGUAUUAGUGAUGUUAUAUGUAUGAUACUAUUCGGGAUGUAUUAGUGAUAAUAUUCGAGGAUGUACGGACGCAUGAGAUGAUUUACUUUUGCUUAUUGAAUGCAUGCUAAUUUGAAUACUUAUUUAUUUUACGAUUUGGUUUUGCUUAUUGAAUGCUCAUGUCAAUAUGAGUCCUAUAAGAUGUUUUGAGUAUCCUGGUAGUUGUCUUCGAUUGAUUUUCAAUUAAUGUUUCAACUAUGAACAUAGGAAAUGUCUGACAACGAAAAGGAUUUCGGUAUUUGCAAAUACUGCGAAGACGAGCGCGGCCUGUGCGACAGAAUCUUCCUAGAUGAUGAUAGGCGCUUCAGCAUCAAGCUGGACGUGAACUUCGAAGUGGAUACAGUAAGUCACAACGACAAGUCUUUUUUCGUAAUUAAGCAUGACAUCUGCUUCAUUUGCUUCAACUUAUAAUUUAAUUUUUUUACUAUUCUACUAGCCUAUCCCCUUCCAUGCAAGAGUUUUUGUCUUGGAUAAGGUAGGUUUCAGUCGUACUAUGGAGGUAAAGAAAGUUUACUUGAAUACCGAGCAUGGUUGUAUUUUUCAUGCAAAAUUAUACAACACAGACGACUACACCUAUUUUGGAUGCAAAACUUGGCGAGCACUAUGCAAGACUUAUGCAUUUGAGCCUGAUAUGGUUAUCACCUUUGAUAUUCGUCCGGAAGAUGAUAUUGAAGGUAAUAUCGACAUCUGGGUCGAUGUACAGACGCCUCUAGUUAUACCAUUAUGUGAGUUUCUCAACCAUAUUUAUGUCUUUGAUAUUGUUCAUUCAAAAAUAGUUGACAACUAAUUUUUAUUGUCAGCUUAUUUCCAUUCAAGAAAACAUGUCCAACGCUUGGUAGACAGGACCUACUACUGUCCCCGGGCUGAACUGAACUGCGAGGAGCUAAGUCAUUAUGUUUCAUGCCUUGAGGAUCUUGAUACUGUCAAGACAAAUUUUCUUCCUGCACUUAGAAAUGUUAAUACUGAAAAUGUGCGACCAAUAGUGUUCGUAAUGAACUAUGGUCACAUCUAUUAGGAAAGAUGGUAAGAUAUUUACUAUUUGCCCUCAGUGCAUCUUUUGCAUACAUUAUUUUUUAAGCUAAACUUUAUUGCUAAGUAUGUUACUAUAUGAUGUUCUUCAACAGGGACUCCCGAUGAAUGUUGUGCCUCAUGGGAUCGAGACUAAAGGUACCAUGAGUAUUGUUAGCUUACGGCCAAGAUAUCCUACAAUGCACUUUAGUGCAUUCAGGAUUUCUAAUAGCGAAGAAUGCUUAAUAGUGAAAGACUGGACCAAAUUUGUGAUGGAGGAGUGCAGAGAAGUAGUAGGUGGCAGCAAUCAAGAGCGCAGCCCAUGAUUAGGAGACAGGUUCAUCUGCAUGCUCCAACUUGAUGAAGGAGGAGAGCUACACAUGUUUUAUGUUAUUUUACCUGAGAGAGAGCAGCAGGAGUGAUUAGCUACCUAGAAAUGAGUUUGAAGAUGAUGAUGUGCUACACUAUGACUAUGUUGAUUAAAUAGCUAGUGUUGGUGGUAAUGACUAUGAUGAUUAUUAUUAGCUAGUGUUGGUGGUGAUUAGAUAGCUACCGCAUCUAGUGUUGGUGGUGAUUAGCUAGCUAGCUAGAAUGAGUUUGAAGAUCAUGAUGUGCUACACUAUGACUAUGGUGAUUAAAUAAAUACUGUUGCUGGUAAUGACUAUGAUGAUGAUUAAAUAGCUUGUGCUGGCGGAUUAGAUUCAAAUGGAGGCAACAUGUGGUGCACAUCGAAAGUACUACUAGUCCAAACUAGAUCAAGUUUGGAUUAGUAGUAUACUUUUGACAUGCACCACAUAUUGCCUCCACUCGAACCUAAUCCACCUUCAUUUGACACACUGUUAUGGACAUAAUGAUAUAAACCUCAUAAUUGGUAUUGUAUCAAAAUUUGUAUAACGGCGUAUAAAUACACUAAAAAAAAGAAUACUUGUAGCGAUGGAUAGUAAACACGCUGCAACUAGCUAGAUUAGCAGCAGCGCGGGAGAGAACAAGCGCUGCCGCUAUGUGUCUUAGCAGCAGCGCGUGUCGCACGCGCUACUGCUAAGUAAUAGCUGUAGCAGCCUCAAGUUUUCCCUAGUUGCGUAGUAACAUACAUAUGUUACUACUCCAUGUUACCACCUUCAUAGUGGGAAGUGUCAUAGGUGUAGUAACAUGCAUAUCUUUCUUUGUUGCCUUGUAGACUCAUUUUGUAUUGGGAACUGCUAUGUGAUGGUAACAUAUUAUGUUACUCUAUUUGUCUCUCUCCUCUUUAAUUACAUGACACAUCAUCUUGUUUGCUUAUGUGGCAUCUAUGUUACUACUUAUGUUACUCUCACUAUGUCUAGCCUAAGGUGGAGAUUAGGAAAUAGAAAACUAACAGAAUAAGGAUAAAUUGUAUAAUUACAUACAAAAUUAUAAACAACAUGCAAGAUGUGGAAUCCAUCUGUGUGCCGACUCGGUUGGGGAUUGUGCACACGGCAUGAUUGCUGAAAGUUGGUCUGUUAGUGAUGGUCAAUCAUGGAUGAUAUUUUCUUUGCAGUAAGUGUACCUAUACUGCAUGCAUGCAGUAAUACAAGUGGCAAUCCAUCUUGUCCCUUGUUAACCAGCACUGGCUCGGUCGAAGAGCAUAGGACAUGCCACAACCACACCACUAUACUCGUCAACUAUAUAUUAGUCAAAUUAUACUUGAUUAGGAAGGUAGGCUUAGACCAUGUCAAGAUUCAAGGAAGAAUGUUGCCUUCCUCAACCCUUCCUUUCCUAAUUAAUUUGGUCCUCGAAGUACCAUUGCAUUGCAAUGGCCACAAGUAUUGGAGUAAGUUAAGUAUGUGAAACAUGUGCCAGCUUCUGUCGAUCGGUGAGAUGCUGUAGGUAUUAGAGUCACCGGAGUCUUGCAACUACGUAGUCUAGCUUCUGAUUUGGCACUCUAACUCAGCUGGCCGCAUGACUCUUCCAGUCACCAAACCACCAUCACAAUCGCCACGGUGAUGACAAAUAAUGCCGGCACUAACAGUAAAUGAUAGAAAAGAAACUGGAUGGACACAGGGAACACAACCUACCACACGUCUUCACAACACAAGAGAAAAAAAUUACUUAACGAGAACCAGCACGCUUCUGGCCUACAUACAAACUAGCCAUGUGGACUUCGCGGGCUAGAUCGAGACGAGUUUACAAAUUGACUUCUUGCAACCUAAACUAACCUACUUGACACAAACACACCCAAGUUCAUCAUCGAGUUUACAAAUUGACUUAUUUAACCUAAUCUAAUCUUGACAGAAAUACACUUAACUUCAUCAUGCAGGCCAACAUCGAUGGAGAUCUACGAGCAGUUCGAUGGGCGGCUGCUCUCACUUGUUUUGGGGCUUCUUCUUAGACAGCAGCAUCUGCAUCUUCUUAGAUGUCGUGGGUUUCGUCUUGGUCACCACCUUCUUCUUCUUAGACGAAGCGGACGGUGCCUGCUUCACCUUAGCCUCCGCCUUCUGAGGGAGAUACUUUGUACCUGGCUUUCCCAUGACGCGAUCUGCUUAUCUUCUUCUUUUGGUCGAUGCGGUGUUUCCUUUGCUCCGCUUGGGUUGAGGGAACCUGCAGCAACGGCAGCAUUUAUAUAGGCCGGACAACACGCUUCUCCCAUGGUAAUGGUUUGGUGACAUUGCUGCAACCAGUCAGUCUCUUUGAUUUGGUUUUUUAGAACAAUUGUUAUUGACGGAUUAAUGUGGUUGGGUUAAUGGUCGUGGUCAUUGCCGCGUUGGUCUUUUUUUUUCUCCUCCUCAUUAUACUACUAUUACUACCACAUCAGAAUUAGCUAGCAUUAAACAAAUGAAAUAGCUAGCGUUACUGAUUAAGUUUUAGGUACAUAUGUGUAGUCAUAUGCAUAUGCAUAUCUACGUCAUGAGUUAUAUAGAUCGGUGAUGUACGAAUACGCGCUUUUGCUGUUGUAUCUUGUAUAAGAUUUUCAACUAGUUCUUGAGCUUGGAUUGUCAAAACCAAUUCUAAUCGUAUAUGGUCUACCAUGUAUACAUGGCAUAUAUAUAUAAGGUAUGUACGAUUUUAGUGUUUAGGAUAGCAACUGGGUGGCCUCGCACUCGAGGCAGAGGAAUAAGGAGUUCCUUGACGUCAUGAUCAGGGUGCUGAUUGCGGCUGGGUGCCUUCUGGUGUAGCUUCUUUGACGGUGCUUCGUCGGCUCUGUGGAGCUUUGUACCCCAUUUUUCUUUUCUUUUCCGGCAUAAUUGUGUUGUUGCCCUAGCAGGUCCUUUAUUUUUAUGUUUGACCCUUGAACUUGUUGUACAUACAUCAUGGUCUGCCUUUAUAUAUAAAGCUGGGCGAAAGCCUAUUUCGAGACUCGGUGACCCCGCCUGUCGACUUGUGUGACCAUGAGUGGGACAAGAUACUCGAUUUGCCUAUCUUGUUGAAUGCAAGGUGCUUAGGGGAGGUUCUUAGAGAAAUAAACCAACUUUUCUUUGUGCAUCAAUUCUUGUUUGUAGGGGUAGAUGCUUAAUUAGGCAUCCCUCCUAUAGAGAUAACCGAUGGUUCUUAAACAAGAAACUUAAAGGUUUUUCUUUUGAAUCAGCGGACGUUCAUAUACAUGAAUGUACACUCCUUUAUGAAUUCACACACGCACACUCUAUCCCUUAUGAGCACCUCCAAGAAAUUGAACCAACAGGUCGCGAGAUUGACGAAGUCACGACUUGUGCAUCGCUACCGAUGGGCUCAUCGCUUACAGCAAAAUAAUAAGUCAUUAAACCAUGAAAUAUAUCCGGAAAAGUGCAAACACCCUUCUCAAGUCAAGGACUUGAACCCGGUUGGAUAGCUUCCACCACAAGGAACAUAACAAACUGUGCUAUGCUCAAUUCACCGAAGAGAUAAUGGUUUGCAAUGUAUUAACCCUAUAUGUAUCUCUUUUCUGACUCUUUCUUUUUAUUCAACUUCCCGACAAUAACCUCCCACACGACUCAUAACAGAAAACAAGGAAAAAAAGACUUAACUUGGCCGCAACGUGAACCAGCACGUUUCUGGCCUACAGACAAACUAGCUACGGAUUCUACAGGAGUGAUCGGAUCAAAUCAAGCUUACAAAUUAACUUAUUGUAACUCAAACUGACCUACUCGACAGAAACACACUUAAAGUUCAUCUUGGCCAGUGGACGUCGAUCACCGCAUGUCUGUUGUCACCUUUUUCGAGGCUAAUUCUUCUUAGAUGGCGUCGUCUGUUUCAUCUGCUUCUUCUGAGGCAGGAGCGACGUCCUCCUAGAGGUCACUGUCUUUGUCAACUGUGUGUUGCUUGACGAUGCCUUCGCCUUCUUUGGGGGAACCAUUGCAGCUUGCUCACCCAUGACAAGAUCUGCUUCUCUUCUAAUAAUCCUUCUUCUCCAGUGAGGUAGCUGAGGUGAGGUGGAUAUAGUGUUUACUUUGCUCUGGUUGAGUUGAGGAAGCCUACGGUAAUGCCUCCAUAUAUAUAGGAGGGGGAAGGUCUUUGAGAAAGCGCUCCAGCCGGACGACGCACUUCCACCGUGCGUGAGAAUGGUUUGGUGGCGUUAAUGUUGCCAGUGCCAGUCAGUGUCUUUUGUUUUGUUUUGGGAGUAGAUAUUUACUAGUACUGCCUCUGUUCCUAAAUAUAGGUCUUUCUAGAGAUCUCAACAAGUGACUACAUACGGAGCAAAAUGAGUGAAUCUACAAUCUAAAAUACGUCUAUAUACAUCCGUAUGUGGUAGUUCAUUUUGAAAUCUCUAAAAAGACUUAUAUUUAGAAAUGGAGGGAGUAUAUUCAAUGCAUUGUUCUUCAUGGAUGGGUAUGCAGUUGGGUCAAUGGUUGUGGUCGCUGCCGCGUUGGUCUUCGUUUCUUCUCCUCCGGCUCCUUAUAUUACAACUACAUCAGAAUAAGUGUUGGUGGUUCAGUUUUGGUAGCACACGCCAUACACACACACACUGCUUGUUAGUUGUUAGUCAUAUAUAUUCAUGUGCUGUACGUCCUUCAUCAUUGAUGUAGUAAGUGCACACGAUGUUGCCAUUGUAUGAGAUGUUUUGAUAGAGCUUAAGUUUAGAUUAGUUAAACCGAUUGUUAUCAUGUGCGACAAAUCCUGUAUAUAUGUUUGUAACGUUGUAUAUUAGUUUCCGCAACAAAAACUUUGUAUACUAGUUAGGGGUCGAGUUGAGAAACGGGAGAGAAGAGUUAUUUACCCAGGUUCAGACCUUGCAAGGGAGAAGUUCUCUCUGUUCUAUUCAACGGAAUUCUUCAGUUAUUAUGGCUUGUUGACUAUUUGGUUUCUGGGUGUUUGCCUAAAUUCAUAACUUUUGAUGGCGGGCCAAAAAUAUGUCAAUUUUCUCCCCUCAAAAUGGUUGGGCCCAUACCGACGAUGCGAGAGGUGGUACCAUGUGCCACCAUAUGUCAAGUGUUUGGAAUAAAUGCAUCGCAUUACACAUUAGUUGUAUAGAUGUCCAUCAUACAUUUAAAACAUUAAGAUGAUUUUGAAAAAUGCCUCCUUCUGAAACCCUAACUGCCACGGCUCAAUUAUGCAGGGAUUCUGGAAAGAAUACUAACUACCUACUACGAAGUAGCCAUACCAACUAACUAUUGAUCAUACUAAUCUAUCUAUAUAUACCUAGUGUUGAUUCAGUCGGAAAGCACAAGGCGUGCCGCGCCACUAAAGCGGUCAAACAUUAGUCAAAUUAUAUUUCAUCAGCUGGCAAGUAGCAUUUUUUUAAUUUUUUGCUAACUUUCUAGAGAUUUUUUUUCUUUCAAAGUUCUUUAGUGAAUUUUAUCAAUAUGCUUGAACUCUUUUAAAAUCCAUGAAACUUUUUUCUCAAAACCAUUGAAAUUGUUUCAUGAUUUUGAAAAAAAUCUUAUUGGUUUUGAAAAAUUCAUGGUUUUUGAUAAAAAAAAGUUCACGCAAUUGCUCUGUUUUUCUAUCGAGUUCGUGAACAUUCUUCCCAAUUUCAUGAAAAAUUUCAAAUCCAUGAUCUUUUUCAAACUCGUGAACAGUUUUCAAAUUGACAACUUUUAUCAAAUAAGUAAUAAAAUUUCAAUUUUAUGGACUUUUGGAAAAUCUGCGAAAUUUGUAAAAAUCAUUUUUUUCUCAAUUUAUUGAACUCUUUUCAAUUUCACAAACUUUUUUGAAUUCAUUAAAUAUUAUGAAUACAUGAACCUUUUUAGAAUGGGCGAACUUUUUUCUAAAAUCUGUGUUAUUUAAAAUGUUGAACAGAUUUUUUUUUAAACCAGUUUUUUCCUAAAAAUUUGAAAAAAUUUGAAAAUCUAAGCGAUAAAGCAAAGCAUACAAUAUGUUGUGUAAUAAAUAGCAUGACUACAGUUGUUCUUAACCAAUUCCUGACGCAAUCAGUUGCUAUCGCUAAGUAGCUCUAGUGGUUGGCCAAACAUGUACGUGAGUGUAACGGCUCAAGUACAAUUCCUGGAGGAGGGCCAUCUUUUUCGGGAUUCUUUUUCACGCUAUUAAAUGCAAUAAGGGCGUGUUUGGUUCUAGUUUGGAACAGUAGUCGCAUUGCAUAGCCUUCUCAACCCAGCCUGGUUGAGGAAAAACAGGCCCUAAUAUGCCAUAUGCAACUUGUUUGGUUGCCUGCAUCUCUAGUCCCUGCAUUAGGUAAUACGCAAGUGCACCAACGCCACGACACAACAAUGGUGACGAACUGGGCGAAGAUGAUGAAGUUCUUCAGCUUUAGGCCGAACUGACAAUCCACCUUAGCAGCUUCCACUUUGACAGCUCCAACCUUGGCACUGUCGACACUGCUGCCUCCGUGCUUUCGCAACCAGGCGGAGUAAGCUUGUUCUACUGCCUGACUAGUCUUGAACCCUCUAUAGUUGUUGUUGCUAUACGAUGCCACUUGUGCAUUGGCUUCUUCCCAUGAACUACAAACCCCUGGAACCUCACCGAUGAACAUGGCAUACCACUUGCCCUAGCAAUGCACAAGAGCAAGAGUUGAAGCAGCAAAUCAAUGGAGCACAAGUAGCAAGCAAAGUAGCACACAAACAACAAUGGAGCAAAAGAGAAGUAAAGCAUGCAUGAUCAUACGGCAUAGCAAGUUCAACCUAGCACUACCUUGGUGUUAACCUACCACCACAUCCAAAAGAGGGUGUCGUCCUACCACCGCAAGUUCACCAUUAGCGUGAGGGGUUAGUAUAUACCACCUCAUCAAAAUAUACAGACCAUCAAAUAGUUUUUGAGCCCUAGCUACACGAAAUGUACGUCGUCAUUGUCAUCGUCGUCGUCGUCGCCAUCGCCAAAAUGUGAGCCCUAGCUACACAAAUAGUUGUAGAAUAUUCUACCAAGAUAUUUAGGUAUUUGGAUGCCACUACAUUUUUUUAAUAUUAGAUUAUGUGUCACAACUGAAUUUGUGGUGGAUAUGGUCAGUUAUAUUUCCUUAUAUUUAGGGGGAAAAUUAUAUAUUUGAUUGUUCGAUCCCUCCAAAUCUUGGUACAAUAUUCUACCUAGAAAUAUUAUAAUAAAUAUCAUAAUAUAGUUAGCGCGACAACUUAAUUUAUUAAAGAAUGUGGUGUUUUGAAUUCCCUAAGAGUUAGGGAAAGAUUUUUUUUCAAAUGUCUCAAGAUAAAAUAAUCAUCGAAUAAUGUCUUCACUCUAUAGUUUAACACAAAAGGAGCAUUUGUAAUGAUAAAUCAUUGACAUUCUUUAUAUUUUUGAGAACCACUAUGUUCACAUAUUGGAUAGUGCUUAUCAUUAUCUUAGAAAUAGUUAUUGCCUGCUAUUUUGAGAAACAAAAAAAAUUAAAUUAUAUACUUACAAGAUAUAUUAAUAAGAAAAAUAACAUAUAAUUGUGGUAAAAUAACUAAGUUACUAAAAGUAAAAAAUAAUAAUAUAAAUAAUGCAUAUGUAUAUAUUUCCAACAUCAGACGUGUGUUUCAUGAAGGCAUUCUGCAACAGUCUACAGUAGUGUCGGUAGACGUUAUUAUAUAUCGGCUACUAACUUGCAAGUUCACACACCGAGCUUACAAGAUUAUAACUAGUUCAUUCCUAAUCCAACUCUAUACAGGCAGGGGUAAUGCUACAAUGUAACCAUGCGGCCCGGACAAGCUGAUGGAUGAUCACUGUGCCUUCUUCACCAUUCCGACUAGGGGCCGACCAUCAAGUCCCACAUCAUAUUUGACACCUGCCAAAAACACCUCGACUUCAAAACCACAAACCAUCCAUCGAUCAGAUGCAGAGGCCGGGGGUAUUCCUCCUUUUCUAAAAAAAAUAGACAGUGAGCACUGUAUCAAUACCUAUGGCUUCCUUAUUUCAAUAGAAUAUAGGACAUCCUUGACUGAUGCGAAGACCUUCGGGGACUGCUUGCGGAGCUCCAAUAUCCUCCUUGCUCUCCUCUUUCUGAUUUCCUGCACAUUCACAGCUGAUAAGAAGAAGAAAAAUGCAUCACUUGAGAUCCAGAGCUAGAACGAACCUUCAUGGUCUGUAGUUCCUCCCUGCAAUGCACAUAGAUACAUGUAGUAUUAGAUAAGCAUAAACAGUUCCCAAAUACUCCCUCCGUUUCUAAAUACAAGUCCUUUUAAAGAUUUCACUAUGGACUACAUAAGAAGCAAAAUGACUGAAUCUACACUCCAAAGUAUGUCUACAUACAUCCGUAUAUAUGUAGUUCAUAGUGGAAUGUCUAAAAAAGACUUAUAUUUACGAACGGAGGGAUUUAUAUAUGUAGAUCACGGAGCCGUCAAAUGACAUUGUNNNNNNNNNNNNNNNNNNNNNNNNNNNNNNNNNNNNNNNNNNNNNNNNNNNNNNNNNNNNNNNNNNNNNNNNNNNNNNNNNNNNNNNNNNNNNNNNNNNNNNNNNNNNNNNNNNNNNNNNNNNNNNNNNNNNNNNNNNNNNNNNNNNNNNNNNNNNNNNNNNNNNNNNNNNNNNNNNNNNNNNNNNNNNNNNNNNNNNNNNNNNNNNNNNNNNNNNNNNNNNNNNNNNNNNNNNNNNNNNNNNNNNNNNNNNNNNNNNNNNNNNNNNNNNNNNNNNNNNNNNNNNNNNNNNNNNNNNNAUAUGGCAUCUGCUGCCAAUUCAUCAUUCAUCAUGUAUAAUUGUAUAUCGCAAUAUAUACGGAGUAAAAUACAUGUUAACUUGGUUAACCGGCUUGUCCGCUUUAUUUGGUUUGGUCAUUGUAUUAUUCAGUAAAGUGCAAAAAUGCGGCCACUAGUUUAUUUUCCUGUACAUAUAGUAUCUAUCUUGAGUCGACGUGGCUGCAGGGCCCACCUGCCAGCCAGCUGUCGAAACCAUUGUCCAUCUUUGUUGUGCCCAUUGUUCGUUUGCUCUUUCCGAGACUAUGUUCAUUGCCUCUAUUAUGCCUGAUGCUGAAGAAGAAAACUUUGAAGAAUCAUCAUGGUUGUAACUAUCCAUGGAAAGACUUUUCCUACACAGUAGAAACAAAACGUCUUGUGUUUGCUAGUUAAAAACUCUGCUCUGCGGAUGCAACGCCCAUUCAGAAAAUGUCGGAAGUUCUAAUUUUGCUAAACUUAAUGUGAUGAUGGCAUCAGAAAACUGCUGGCAUUUCCAUUUUCUAGUACAACAGUGGUUCUGUAUUGGGUUCAGUUCAGUUCAGAGUGUGUCAAACAGAACAAAAUCCAACCCUGCAUUGACAGCAAUGUGCAUGCAGAGUCGCAGAAUCUGCACCGCAGCGGUAACAAAGUUGAGCAACCGGCCGUACAUACAAGUCAGAUCCAUCAAACUAUCCACAAAGGUUAAUCAACAACACCAAACAUGCCAAGUUAUCAUCUAACCCAAUCCCGAAUUUUGAACUAGCACUGCAAAUCAGGUAGUACUAAACCCAAGCCUGUCGAGUUUGGGUGCUACAACGAAUGAUGCUGUACUCUGAAACAAUGGACUUCAUCGAAGUCCGAGGUUAUAUGUUAUGCUUGUUCUUGAAUGACUUCCUGGACCUCCAUCAUUGUCAGCUUCUUUCUGCGACCGGAGACUGGAGUGGCUGAGCUUCGCUGAGAUAGUAGCCGACCUCUUUGUGUGGCUGUCACUUCUUUUGGACUUGUAAUCUGUGCUUAUGGGUUUUUUCCCUGAGGUAGAUGUUCAGACCAAUUUCUUAAAAAAAUGUGGAUGUUCCGACAUCGGGGCAUUAGCAGCUGGUUUUCCAUAAGCGCUCAGACUCGCUUCACUCUUUGCCCCCGUCCCCUGCUAUGCUUGUAAGAACAUGCUAUUUUUGUGUGAAUGGAAAGGGGGUAAUCCAGUUCGAGAUGGUCACAACUGUCAAGGUUAACCAUUUUCUUUAUAGAGGAGACAGACUGAAUGGUUGUUUCUGCCAUACUCGCCCACAAAAUAUUUUGUUUAAGGGCCUUUUUUGGUUCACAUGAUUCAAUAAACACAGGAACAAGAAGAAAAACACAAGAACUUACUAGAUUGAGCCAAAAAAUCCUAUGGAAUGGUACUGUAAGAAAGCACACAAAUUCAGAGAAUAAAAACUAAUACAAAUCUGUUGGACACUAGUCACAUCAUACAACUACGCACAAGCCAAUCUAGCGCACUACAAGCACAUAUACGUGCAGAUUAUUGGUGAAAGAAAACAAAGAGCUGCAGCUUAUAUAGUGUGAAGCAUAUAAGUGUCAUAAAUACAGCCAGGUACACUUCAUUUUGUUCACAACAAUCCGCUGCAUGGUGUCGAUGCAAUUGAAGAAUGCAAACCGCCAGAUCUUGCAGAAGAACAAUGCUCCAAACCAUACCCAGAAACCGAAGACAGUUCCAGCAAUCACCGAGUAGUACGACCACACCGUUUCAUGUUCAUGGUCGCCAUCAACUGGUGUUGUACUACUCGAAUUGUUUGUGGAUGGAAUGCUCAAUGGAGGGCCACAAAGUCCAAGGUUAUUUCCGUAGAUCAAUGGGUCCGCAAGUGUUUGGAGCUGACUGCUUGUAGGUAUCUCUCCAGACAGAGGUUGUUGGAGAGGUUGAGAGUGGUGGGGGACGUCAGGUUUGAGACACUAGGAGGAAUAGGACCGGAUAGUUUGUUCGAAGAGAGGUCAAGGGAUUCUAAUAAAUUUAGAUUGCCAAUAUCCAUGGGGAUACUACCAGACAGAUUAUUUCUUGAAAUAUUUAGUAACUGCAUGCCCCUGAGACUUGUCAGCUCUGAAGGGAUUUCACCGGAUAGAGAAUUACCAGAGAGAUCAAUACCAGUCACAAAUGCAUGUCUUCCCUCAAAAGCGUACUACCGCCCCUUCCAAAUUAUGUCCAUGCUGCCAUUGUAAAAAUAAAAAUAUCUAUAGGUGGUAAGUACUAUGACAUUUGUUACAACUGGUUGCAUCACAAAAGUCUGUCUCAUCAAGGAGAAGUUGACCAAACUUUCUGGUAUGGAACCUAUAAAAUUACGGUCUGUCUAGGUCUCAGUCGACUGCUCAGUCGGCUGACAUCAUCACAUGUAGAUAAGGCCUAGUAACUAGCUCCCUUUCUCAUAGGUUGAAUCCAGCUUAGCACCUGGGCUUAUUUUCUUUUUCCCUUAUUUGUUUGUUUGUUACUUUUGGGUUGGGCUGAUCACUUUGUUUGUUGUGAUUCGGCUGGGUCAUGAAGUUUUUAUUUGUGGGCCCGGACUACAUAGAAAAAGACAAAAAAAAACCUGUUUCCUACUCUGCUUUAUGAACUAUAUAUACUUUUUGACUGGUGGUGAUGAACAGACGCUGUCAAGCAAACAAACAAAAAAUGUGAGGCUCUUAACAAAAAAUAAGUGCUCUACUUCAAAACCAGUUUAAAGUUGUUUCACAAAAGAGCAAAAAGCAUAUCCACCAGUGAUGAAAAAUUUCAUAUACAAAAAAACAUGCAUAAAUUAACUCUGUUUUACAGAAAAAGCAGCAGUUUCAUCAUCUCUGUUUUCAAGUAUUCAUAUACAAAAAACAUAAAAAAAAAACACCUCACUAAAACCAACCUGAGUGAAAUCAAACACAGCCUUGUUCAACUGUAUGCAUCAGUUAACUCAAAACAUUGAAAAAAUAGCAGCAGUGGCAUCCUCAUGCCACCAAAAACAUACAUACAACAGGGAAUGGGUCGGGGCACCAUAUAUGUUUCAAAAGCUGGCAUUAGCAAUUCCGUAGCUACAUCAUAUGUACGUGGACGCAUAAACUAACAGGUGCAGAUCACUUGCACGGUAGUACUACAGGAGGACUGACUACUUACAAGCAUGUUGCUUAAGAUAUCCACUGAGAGUGAACUUGGAUACUUGUAAAUUCACAAACACAGAAUGUCUACUGAUAGUGAAUCGAAUUAGACUGACGCUCUCAUCAAGCACAGAAAAUUCAGAUGUACUCCUACCAAAAAAAAAAUGUGCAGAUUCCAAACAAACUUAAGAUCAAAAUAUUGAAUGAGAAUGGGUCCCGGGUGCAGAUUCCAUCCAGCUUACCUAAUCAGCAGGGCGCAAGGAGUCUGGAGGGGCGACGGGAUCGCCGAGCAUCUCGUUGCAGGCGUCGCCGAGCAUCUCGUUGCAGGCUUCGCCGAGCAUCUCGUCGCCGGUGAAUUCCGUCACGGAAACCUUCGAUGUGCCCGCCCCCGUGAUGCAGCUUCCUUCCUCUCCCAUUUCCUCUCUCUGUCUAUGCUCGUCUCUCAAUUCAAACAGUGUCGUUGGGUGGCCUCGAGAAAGAUGUUGAGCCUGGGUCCACAUCCCAAAGACAAGGAAAAUAAAAAAACAGCAUCACACCGUCUAUAGUCACUCCCUUCCUUCACAACAACAUUAAAAAUGUGUCCAAGGAUCUGGACAAGUAACUCUUCUCUCCUUUAAUAUGCUUCUUCUAUUUUGAGAAAAUGAUCUCCUGUCAGAAUCAGAUACAAAACAACAAAUUAAUUUUCUUCUUAAUCCUUGGGAAAACAAAAAAAAUGCAAAAAUAAAUAAGGAAAAAAUUGUAGUCCCUCCGUAAACUAAUAUAAAAGCGUUUAGAUUACUACUUUAGUGAUCUAAAUGUUCUUAUAUUAGUUUAUGGAGGGAGUAUAUGAUUUUAAAAAAAAGAUAAAACUCAAACUAGUUGUGAGGUCGGGUGCUUGAUUUGUGUUUGCGGGCAUGGCAGAAAACGGGGGUGUUAUGGUGCUCGUGUGACACAUAGCGAGGAUAGAGGAUUUACGGAGAAGGUGCCCCCUUCCGACCAGGCAAAAAAGUCUAGUUGCAAAUUUUUUUGUAAAAAGACAUGUAGUUAUAGUCUGGGGGACAGCGCUUGGAAUUGCAUGCACGCUUCUGCUGUUGUAUCCUGUAUAUAUAUAGAUCGAGGUGAUGUCCGCAUACAUGCAUAUCUCAAUCGUAUAUGGUCGAUCAUGUAUACAUGGCAUGUAUAUAAGGUAUGUACGAUUUGAGUGUUUAGGACAGCAACUAGGUGUGUCUUGACGCCAUGAGCAGGGCGCUGAUUGCGGCUGGGUGUCUUCUCGCGUAGCUUCUUUGAUGGUGCUACGUCGGCUCUGUGGGGCUUUGUACUCCAUUUUUCUUUUCUUUUCGGGCAUAAUUGUGAAGUUCCCUAGCAGGCCCUUUAUUUUUAUGUUUGACCCGUGAACUUGUUGUGUAGACGUGAUGGUUUGCCUUCAUAUAUAAAGCUGGGUGAAAGCCUAUUUUGAGACUUGGUGACCCCGCCUAACAACUUGUGUGACGAUAAGUAGGACACGAUACUCGAUUUGCCUAUCUUAGGACUUGUUGAAUGCAAGGUGCUUAGGGGAGGUUCUUAGAGAAAUAAACCAACUUUUCUUCAUGCAUCAAUGCUUAUUUGUAGAGGGUAGAUAUUUAAUUAGGCACCCUUCUUAUAGAGAUAACCGAUGGUGCUUAAACAAGAAACUUAAAGGUUUUUCUUUAAUCAGUGGACGUUCACAUACAUUAAUGUACACUCCCCUAUGAAUGCACACACGCACACUAUCCCUUAUGAGCAUCUCUGAGAAACUGAAUCAACGGGUCGUGAGAUUGACGAAGUCACACCAUGUGCAUCGCUAUCGAUGGGCUCAUCGCUUACACCCAAAGAAUAAGUCAUUAUACCCUGAAAUAUAUCUGGAGAAGUGCAAACACCCUUCUCAAGUCAAGGACUUGAACCCGGUUGCUUCCACCACAAGGAACAUAACAAACUGUGCUACGCUCAAUUCACCAAAGAAAUAAUGGUUUGCGAUGUAUUAACCCUAUAUGUGUCUCUUUUCCGACUCUUUAUUUUUAUUCAACUUCCAGAUGAUAACCUCCCACAUGACUCAUAACACAAAACAAGGAAAAAAAAGGACUUGACUUGGCCGCAACGUGAACCAGCACGGUUCUGGCCUACAUAUAAACUAGCUACAGAUUCUACAGGAGUGAUCGGAUCGAAUCAAAUUUACAAAUUAACUUACUGUAACGCAAACUGAUCUACUCGACAUAAACACACAUAACUUCAUCCUGGCCAGAGGACGUCGAUCACCGCGCGGCUGUUGUCACCUUUUUCGAGGCUAAUUCUUCUUAGACGGUGUCGUCUGUUUCAUCUGCUUCUUCUGAGGCAGGAGCGACUUCCUACUAGAGGCUGCUGUCUUGGUCAACUGCGUAUUGCUUGACGAUGCCUUCGCCUUCUUUGGGGGAACCUUUGCAGCUUGCUCGCCCAUGACAAGAUCUGCUUCUCUUCCAAUAAUUCUUCUUCUACGGUGAGGUAGCUGAGGUGAGGUGGAUAGUGUUUACUUUGCUCCGGUUGGGUUGAGGAAGCCUGCGGUAAUGGCUCCAUAUAUAUAGGAGGGGGAAGGUCUUUGAGAAAGCGCUCCGACCGGACGACGCGCUUCCACCGUGCGUGAGAAUGGUUUGGUGGCGUUAAUGUUGCCAGUGCCGGUCAGUCUCUUUUGUUUUGUUUUGGGAGUAGAUAUUUACUAUAUUCAAUGCAUUGUUCUUCAUGGAUGGGUAUGCGGUUGGGUCAAUGGUUGUGGUCGCUGCCGCGUUGGUCUUCGUUUCUCCUCCUGCUCCUUAUAUUACUACUAACAUGAGAAUACGUGUUGGUGGUGCAGUUUUGGUAGCACACGCCAUACACUCACACUGCUUGUUAGUUGUUAGUCAUAUAUAUGCAUGUACUGUACGUCAAUCAUCAUUGAUGUAGUAAGUACAUACGAUGUUGCCAUUGCAGGACAUGUUUUGGUAGAGCUUGAGUUUAGAUUAGCUAAACCGAUUGUUAUGAAUUUAUCAUGUGCUACAAAUCUUGUAUAUAUGUUUGUAACUUUGUAUAUUAGUUAGGUGUCGAGUUGAGAAACGGGAGACAAGAGAGUUAUUUCUCGAUGUUCAGACCUAGUGAGGGAGAAGUUUUCUCUAUUCUUUUCAACGGAAUUCUUCAGUUAUUAUGGCUUGCUCACUAUUUGGUUUUUGGGUGUUUGCCUAAAUUCGAAACUUUUGAUGGCGGGCAAAAAAUAUGUCAACCUUUUCCCCUCAACAUGGUUGGACCAAUACUGAGGUGCGGGAGACAAGAGGUGGUACCAUAUGCCAGCGUAUGUCAAGUGUUUGAAACAAAUGCAUCACAUUACAUAUUAGACGUAUAGAUGUUCAUCAUACAUUUAAAAUAUUAAGAUGCUUUUGAAAAAUCUCUCCUUCUGAAAUCCUAACUGCCAUGACUCAAUUAUGCAGGGAUUCUUGAAAGCAUACUAACUACCUACUACAAAGUAGCCAUACGAACUAACUAUUGAUCAUACUAAUCUAUCCAUAUAUACCUAGUGUUGAUUCAGUCGGAAAGCAUGAGGCAUGCCGCGCCACUAAAGCCAUCAAACAUUAGUCAAAUUAUAUUUCAUCAGCUGGCCAGUAGGCAAAGAUCAUGUCAAGGUUCAAAAAUGAAUAGGAGUCGGCCGGCCUUCACAUCGCACGCACAAGCUGCCUAGCUUGGCCGACCUUCUCUUCUUUAUUUAAUUUACUCCUCCUGCUACCACUGCAUCUCGUUAACCACUAAUAUUUGAGCAAGUUAAGUAAGUUAAUACCACUGCAUAAGAACACCGCUCAACCCCUCUCUAGAGUCUUGCCGCUGCUCAAUUGCUACCUCCCUACCUUGAGCCGUUCCACUUAUUUUCCAUGGGGGUAAUGCUAGCUGUAAUUGGUUGCUGAUAUGGCAGUAAGACAACUCUGAACUCCACCACUGGACUUCUCCAGUCUUAGAUCGCUUCUAACGAAUUUCGCAAGAAACUGGGACGAACACACACAAGCCAGAUGUAGUUCAUUAAUCAUGUAUACUUCUUUUCUGAUUCAUUUCUUUUAUUUGUUCAUCCGACAACAUGACUCGAUAACACCAGGAAAAACAUAAAUAGCCGCAACAUGAACUGGCACACUUAAAAAAAAUUGUUGGAAAAACUUCCAUUCUAUUCAUCAAUAUCAUUAUAGUACAAAGUACAACACAGGUAAUAUAAAUUCCAUCCAAGUCCAUAGACCAUCUAUUCAUCAAUUGGAACACACUGGCUUACAUGUCACGGGCUCGAACCAAUCGAGUUUAUAAAUGUAUUAACUUACUGUAAUAUAACUGAACUCGUCUCAACACACUUAACUUCAUCGAAGAUGGACGCCGUAGAUGGAUGGAGAUCAUCGGCGUGUGCUAGAAGCGGUUGGACGUGUGGGAGCGGCACGACUACGACUUGUCGUCGCAGACAAGGGCGGGGCCGUCGUCCUAGCCGUUCUUGAGGUCGAUGCACCCGGACGCAACGUCGUUGGCUGGUUUGAGGCCACUGUUGCUCUAGUUGACGUUCGUGAGGUCCCAGACGGAGCAGCUCUUGUUGACAUUCUCGAGGUCACAAGAGGAGCCACCGUCGCUGAUGCUGUUGACGUUCUUGAGCUCGUGUAUGAAUUUGCCGUUGUUGACGUUCUUGAGAUCGCAUGCGGAUUUGAGGUUGUCGUUGUUGAGGUCGCAUACCGAUUCGCCGUUGUUGAAGUUCUUGAGCUCGCACGCGGAUUUGCCGUUGCCGGCGUUCUUGAGGUAGCGGGUUGAGCCGACGUUGCUGAUAUUCUUGAGCCCGCGGGCUGAGCUGCCAUUGCUGACGUUCUUGAUGCAGUGGAGGAAGCCACCCUUGCUGAAGAUCUUGAGGCCACAGGUGUAGCCACCCUUGGUAACGUUGUUGAGGCCACCGGCGGAGCCACUGUUGUUGACGGUCUUGAGGUAGUCGCCGGUGUUGGUGUUCUUGGGGUUGUGGGCGCACCCGCCGGUGACCUCGCCUUCUUCUGACCGAGAAACUUUGCUGGAAACAUGACACAAUUUUGUUUUGCUUCCUUUUCUUCUUCGAGAUCAGGUGAGGUAAGGUGUAUGUGGUGGUUGCUUUGCUCCGGUUGGGUUGAGGGAGCCUGCAUCGAUGGCAAUGUAUAUAUAUAGGAGCAUAAUGCGUUGUUGACGUGCUCCACCAGUCAGUCUCUUUUGUUUUGUUGGAUAUAUAUAUGUAGUACAUAUGUAUAUUCACUGCAUGCAUUAGUUUUUGACGGAUGGAUGGAUGCGGGUGGUCAAUGGUCGUGGUCGUCGCCGCGUUGGUCUUUCUUUCUUAUAUACAUAUAAGAAUUAGCGUUAGGUGGAGGUUAGGAAGCAGACGCUAAUAGAGUAAGGAUAAAAUGCAUAAUUACAUAAAAAUGUAAACAACAUGCCCUUGUUUACUGGUGCUGACUCGGUCGGGUAUUGCGCACAAGGCAAGCUACGCACUAUCACUACUACACAACAAAUCGUCGCACACGGUUUCAAGGCCGUGUCGACGAUCCGUUCGUGGGCAGAGAGGAUCAGUCCAUGAACACAAAUAUGGGAGACAGCUAUCCAAAGCUGCCUGCAUACGUUUGAAACACUUUUUCAACAAACCGGAUGUACCUCACGCAAACACAUCAGAUUACAUACAAACCUGGCGAAAACAUUUAUAUUUUUGACAUAUUUUAACCAAAGAACUAAUACUAUGUGCACGUACGACGGCACGGAGGUCCACUAUCAUGACACCAAUAUAUUACACUAGUCUACGGCCGGCCGCGGAGAAUCCCUUUGUCUUCCCCUUGUUAGGCAGUCCGGUCACUCAUCGGACUGCCGGAAGCCCCGGAGAUAUAUUCCUCCCCCGUAUCUUUCCUAUGUCUGGCUGCGCCGCUUAUCGGAGUGGAAAAGGUGGUGCUUCAGUUGGAGGCGAAGGGGGGAAUCCGAUUCCGUGAAGCGCGGUUCAAGGUUGGUUUUUGGGGCGGGGGAAGAUGGUGGACCGCGAGACAGGGCGAGACAUUUGUUGUGCAUGCGUCGCUCACCAUCGGUGCGCUCCUCCACCAGCCUGCACUGUCGUCAGUGGUCUAGGUACGCAUAUGGCCUCCUGCGCCAGCGUGACACCAAGCCAAACGGGGGUGCGGGGGCCCACUCCCGCAGCUGGCCGGUCCACAUGUACCGCUCAGCCGGCUCGGGCCUAGGCGUCGUCAGGGUUAGUGGCGGCGACGACGGCGGCACCAUGCAGUAGGCGGGCUCCUCCGCUUCGGUCGCUUCGGCCCUCUGCCUGGUAGGUAGCCUCGCCCUCCUCCUGCUCCGGCUUUACGACGGGGGGAGGCGGGGGGUUGAUGUGGUGGUGCUGCGCGCCGAGACGCCUUUGCUCCUUGUGUUCAAGGGCAAACAAGCCCUGCCAAUGCGGCAUACUCGGGCACGCACCGCUGCGGCGGCGUGAGCUGCGCCCGGCACCUGCACACCAUGUCGUCGUGCGCCCACUGUGUCCGUGGAACUGCUGGUACCAGGAUCCCCUACGGAUCGAGGUGACAAUUGUGCGACAGCAUCACGUCCGGGUACGGCAACGGGUGCCUGAACUCCCAGUGCCACCAUGCUUGGUGCACCAGGAUGUGCAGACGCUGCCGGCCGGAGCAGGCAGGCGGCGACGGCAGAGGAGGAGGAGGAGGAGGAGCACGCGAGGAGAAGGCGCCGGGGGUGAACUUUCCCUUGCCCUCGCCGGAGCCAGUGCCGAAGAACCCCAUGCCUAGGGUUUCAGUUGUCGCCGGCAAGGAAACACGAGUGGGCUGGUGGGGGGCCAGAGGUAGACGGAAGUGGAUGAGGCCGACCCCCACACGCGUGGAUUAAUAAAGGUCCCCAGAUCGUCUCGACGGCUUCUCCCAUGGAUACCCGAUGUAAGACUGCGCCACGUGUCCCCAGAUUGCAUCCCUCCCACGGUACCCACUCUCCGCUGCUCCAGGUCGGCUCACGCGAUCGCUCCAUAGCUGCACACACUUCCGCUCGGCUCGAUUGGUAUGCGGCGAUAUCGUCUCACGAGACACGACACUGAACACCAUCCUCCAUCUGUUUCCGCCGUCCAGCGGAGUGGCCGCAGCGCCGGAGCGAGAGGCAAUCGUGAACACCCACUAGUGCAGAACCGGGCUUUAGUCCCGGUUCGUAAAGGCCUUUAGUACCGGUUCGGCACGAACUGGCGCUAACAUGCCACCACGUGGCACGAGCCAGGCCCGGGUGCGUGUAGGACAUUAGUACCGGUUGGUAACACCAACCGGUACUAAAUGUUUGGGGGUGUUUUGGUUUUAUUUUUUAUUUUUCCUUUAAUUUUGUGUUUUCAAUUUAAUUUAGUGAUUGUUUUACAAUAUAAUGAGUUGUUAAAUCAUUAGGUGAAAGUACCGCAGAUUAGUUUCGACUGGAUACAUGUGGAUCCUAUAGCUAAGUGAUCAAGUAUAUGCCAUAUCCAUAUUAUAAUUGAUCACCUAAUUAAGUGAUCAAGUAUAAUAUGGAUAUGGCAUAUACUUGAUCACUUAGCUAGAAUCCAUCCAGCUGGAACUAAUCUACGGUUUCUUUCAUAAAUGAUAUAAUAACUCAUCAUCAUCAUCAUAUUAAUAUAAAAACUCUUGCAUCAUAUCAUCAACAACAGUAUACUAGCUAGCUAAAAAUCAUCAUAGUCGUCAUUACCACUAUUUAAUCAUCAUAGUCAUUACCGCUAUCUAAUCACCACCAACACUAGCUUAAAUAAGAAACAUUCACUUGUACCAGAAGCAAAGAUAUCAUCGAGUUCAACAUGGUCAUGAUAUUAUAAGCGUUCAUAACACCACAAAAGCAAAUCACUCUUUGAGAUUAAGUUCAGGACGAAGAACACGGACAUGAGAGGACAAGUAUUAAGAGCAUGAACUAGCUAAAUCACUCCUGCUACUCUCUCUCAGGUAAAAAAGCAUAGAACAUGUAUAGCUCUCCUGAUUCAUCAUACUGGAGCAUGCAGAUGAACCUGUCUCCUAAUCGUGGGCUGCGCUUCUGAUUGCUGCCCCUAGUACUUCUCUGGGAUCGUUAACAAUUUUGCUCCAAUCUUUCACUAUUAAGCAUUCAUUGCUUUUAGAAAUUCUGAAUGCACUCAUGUGCAAUGUAGGAUAUCUUGGCUGUAAGCUAACCAUUGACAUGCGACCUUUAGUCUCGAUCGACUGAGGCACAACUGUCAUCGAGAGUCCCUGUUGAAGAACAUCGUAUAGUAAUUAAUAUACUUAGCAAUAAAAGUUUAGCUUCCAAAAUAAUGUAUGCAAAAGAUGCACUGAGGACAAAUAGUAAAAAUCUUACCAUCUUUUUCUAAAUAGAUGUGACCGUAGUUCAUUACGAUCACUAUUGGUCGCACGUUUUGAGUACUAACAUUUCGAAGUGCAGGAAGAAAAUUUGUCUUGACAGUAUGAAGAUCCUCAAGCCAUGAAACAUAAUGACUUAUCUCCUCGCAGUUUAGUUCAGCUCCGGGACAGUAGUAGGUCCUGUCUACCAAGCGCCGGACAUGGUUGCUUGAAUGAAAAUAAGUUGUCAAUAGAAAUUAGUUGUUAACUAUUUUUGAAAUAAACAAUAUCAAAGACAUAAAUAUGGUUGAGAACUCACAUAAUGGUAGAACUGGAGGCGUCUGCACAUCGACCCAGAUGUCUCUAUUACCUUCAAUAUCAUCUUCGAAUAUCAAAGGUGAUAACCAUAUCAGGCUCAAAUGCAUAAGCCUUGCAUAGUGUUUGCCAAGUUUUGCAUUCAAAAUAGGUGUAUGUGUCUGCAUUGGAUAAUUUGAUGUUGAAAGUAUAACCAUGCUCGGUCUUCAGGUAAACUCUCUUUACCUCCAUAGUUUUCAUAGCACUGAAACCUAUCUUAUUCAAGACAAAAAUUCUUGCAUGGCAGGGGAUGCGCUAGUAGAAUAGUGAAAAUUUAAAAUUAUAAGUUGAAGCAAAUGAAGCAUAUAUAAGUCAUGCUUAAUUACGAAAAAAGAUUUGUCGUUGUGACUUACUGUAUCCACUUCGAUGGUCUCAUCCAGCUUGAUGCUGAAGCGCCUAUCAUCAACAAGGAAAUUUCUGUCGCACAGGCCGCGCUGGUCUUCAUAGUAUUCGCAUAUAAUGAAAUAUUUUUACUCGUCACCGCACAACCUGCCACACGUCUUGACAACACAGGAGAAAAACUUUACUUAACGUGAACCAGCACGCUUCUGGGCUACAUGAAAACUAGCUAUGUGGACUUCACGGGCUAGAUCGAAACAAGUUUACAAAUUGACUUAUUGCAACCUAAACUAACCUACUUGACACAAACACACCUCACUUAAUAAUCGAGUAUACAAAUUGACUUAUCGCAAAUCUAACAUAGUUGACAUAAACACACUUAACUUCAUCAUGCAGGCCAACGUGGAUGGGGAUCUCCGAGCAGCUCGAUGGGUGGCUGGACUCACUUGUUUUUGGGUUUCUUCUUAGACAGCAGCGUCUGCUUCUUCUUUGAGGUCGUGGGUUUCGUCUUGGUCACCACCUUCUUCUUCUUAGACGAAGCAGACGGUGCCUUCUUCACCUUAGCCUUCGCCUUCUGAGGGAGAUACUUUGUACCUGGCUUUCCCAUGACGCAAUCUGCUUCUCUUCUUCUUCUAGUCGAUGUGGUGUUUUCUUUGCUCUGGUUAGGUUGAGGGAACUUGCGGCAACGGCAGCAUUUAUAUAGGCCGGACAACACGCUUCUCCCAUGGUAAAUAAUAGUUUGGUGACAUUGCCGGAGCCAGUCAGUCUCUUGAUUUGUUUUUUAGAAGAAUUGUUAUUGACAGAUUAAUGUGGUUGGGUUAAUGGUCGUGGUCAUUGCCGCGUUGGUCUUCUUUUUUUUCUUCUCCUCAUUAAACUACUAUUACUACCACAUCAGAAUUAGCUAGCGUUAAACAAAUGAAUUAGCUAGCAUUACUGAUUACGUUUUAGGUAUAUACGUGUAGUCUUAUGCGUAUGCAUAUCUACGUCAUGAGUUAUAUAGAUCGGUGAUGUACGCAUACACGCUUUUGCUGUUGUAUCUUGUAUAAGAUGUUCAACUAGUUCUUGAGCUUGGAUUAUCUAAACAAUUUUAAUAGUGUAUGGUCGAUCAUGUCUAGUCAGUAUUAAUAGCGUUACUGAUCAUGUAUACAUGGAGUAUAUAAGGUAUGUACGAUUUGGGUGUUUAGUACAGCAACUGGGUGGCCUCGCACUCGAGGCAGCGGGAUAAGGAGUGUCUUGACGCCAUGAUCAGGGUGCUGAUUGCGGCUGGGUGUCUUCUCGCAUAGCUUCUUUGAUGGUGCUGCGUCAGCUCUGUGGAGCUUUGUACCCCAUUUUUCUUUUCUUUUCGGGCAUAAUUGUGAUGUUGCCCUAGCAGGCCCUUUAUUUUUAUGUUUGACCCUUGAACUUGCUGUAUAGACGUAAUGGUUUGCCUAUAUAUAUAAAGCUGGGCGAAAGCCUAUUCCGAGACUCGGUGACCCCGUCUAAUGACUUGUGUGACGGUGAGUGGGACAAGAUACUUGAUUUGCCUAUCUUCGGACUUGUUGAAUGCAAUGUGCUUAGGGGAGGUUCUUAGAGAAAUAAACCAACUUUUCUUUAUGCAUCAAUGCUUAUUUGUAUUGGGAAGAUGCUUAAUUAGGCACCCCUCCUAUAGACAUAGCUGAUGGUGCUUAAACAAGAAACUUAAAGGGUUUUUUAAUCAGCGGACGUUCACAUAGAUGAAUGUAUACUCCCGUAUGAAUGCACACAUGCACACUCUAUUUCCUAUGAGCACCUCCGAGAAAUUGAACCAACAGGUCGUGUGAUUGACGAAGUAACAACAUGUGCAUCGCUGCCGAUGGGCUCGUCACUUACACCCAAAGAACAAGUCGUUAUACCCUGAAAUAUAUCCGGAGAAGUGCAAACACCCUUCUCAAGUCAAGGACUUGAACCCGGAUGGAUAGCUUCCACCACAAGGAACAUAACAAACUGUGCUACGCUCAAUUCACCGAAGGGAUAAUGGUUUGCGAUGUAUUAACCCUAUAUGUAUCUCUUUUCUGACUCUUUCAUUUUAUUCAACUUCCCAACAAUAACCUCUCACAUGACUCAUAGAACAACAGAAGGAAAAAAAAGGACUUGAAUUGGCCGCAAAGUGAACCAGCACGCUUCUGGCCUAUAGACAAACUAGCUACAGAUUCUACAUGAGUGAUCGGAUCGAAUCAAAUUUACAAAUUAACUUAUUGUAACACAAACUGUCCUACUCGACAGAACCACACUUAACUUCAUCCUGGCAAGAGGAUGCUGAUCACCGCGCGACUGCUGUCACCGUUUUUUAGGCUAAUUCUUCUUAGACGGCGUCGUCUGUUUCAUCUGCUUCUUCUGAGGCAGGAGCGUCUUCCUCCUAGAGGCCGCUGUCUUCGUCAACCGCGUAUUGCUUGACGGUGGCUUCACAUUCUUUGGGGGAACCUUUGUAGCUUGCUAGCCCAUGACAAGAUCUGCUUCUCUUCCAAUAAUUCUUCUUCUCCGGUGAGGUGGCUGAGGUGAGGUGGAUAGUGUUUACUUUGCUCCGGUUGGGUUGAGGAAGCCUGUGGCAAUGGCUCCACAUAUAUAGGAGGUGGAAGGUCUUUGGGAAAGCGCUCCGGCCGGACGACGCGCUUCCACCGUGUGGGAGAAUGGUUUGGUGGCGUUAAUGUUGCCAGUGCCAGUCAGUCUCUUUUGUUUUUUUGGGGAUUAGAUAUGUAUUAUAUUCAAUGCAUUGUUCUUCAUGGAUGGGUAUGCGGUUGGGUCAAUGGUUGUGGUUGCUGCCGCGUUGGUCUUCAUUUCUUCUCCUCCUGCUCCUUAUAUUACUACUAUUGGUUUCAAUAGAUUUCUUCAGUUAUUAUGCUUUGUUGACUAUUGGUUUUUGGGUGUUCACCUAAAUUCGAAACUUUCGAUGGUGGGCCAAAAAUAUUUCAACCUUCUCCCCUCAAAAUGGUGGGACCCAUACUGACGUGUGGGAGACAAGAGAGUGGUACCAGGUGCCAAAGUAUGUCAAGUGUUUGGACCCACAUGUCAUACACAGAUCAUUUUAUUCAUGUUAAAUUUAGAGUGGAACAAUGUAUCUGUACAAGACACAUGCCACCAUUUUGACUAAUCCUUGUCGUUGUUGAUUUUUAUCUGUUCAAUCUAAUUCAUACAUGUCUUUUAACGUAUCUUUAAAGAAUUCGAGUUACUUUUUUUAGAGUACGCAAAUUGUGUACCAUAGCUUUACAGAAGAGAGAAUUUCAAAUACAAGGCAACUACAACUUGCUGCGAACAACGAGCGUAGCAAAAACUCCACUCCACCCAUGACAAAGCAACAAUUCCACUCCACCCACGACAAAGCAAUAACAACGGAGAAGCGCCUGCCUAAAACCGAAAAAACCUUGCCGCAUCUAGACCGACGCAGGCCAACUCCGAAGAAACACCAACUCUCACCGAGCUUUCCUUGUUGAUGCACCAUCCACCCUUUAUGCCUAAAGGAGGUUGCAAGUGAACGGCCGGACUCAAUCAGACCCGAAAAGCCACCGUCUUGGUAUCACUAGUGACGGUCGUACAUUGUGCCGCGGUAGAUCGAACAUGGACAGUGGCGAACACCGGAGGAGCGCAACGAAGGACCUCCAAACCACAUCUCCAGGCAUGACGCUGCCAACAGAGGAACAGCGUCAAGGACGCCGCCAUCGUGCUGAUCCUGCAAAUCAAGGCUUUCGCCCGGAGACAACUACCAAUGCCAAGCGAGGGAGGGAGAUGGUUGCACGCCUCGACGACACCUCCAAGGGCGGAAAAGACACCUGCGGGUGCCCUCACCGCCGGCCGGCAAACCUCGGGCAAGACUUUCGUCCGUAUCGCCGCACAUCUCCACACCUCCAAGGAUUGUGGCAGCAGCGUCCUAAUAGCCUCACACUGCUGCCACCGCAGCACACCACCGUCGAAGCCGCACAACCAUGGUCCAUUGACAUCAUGCACAACAACGAGAAACGCAGUACAAUAUUCCAUGGUCGGUGUCCAUCAGAGGUAUAUCUACCACUAACGGGACACAUUACGGCACCGCUCGGUGCCCUUAUCUCUUCCUGUGAUGGAUUUCUUUUGUCCUUUUUAUGUAUUAACUAGUUUUUUUAUUUCACCACAAUUUGAACAUCUUAAGACCACAAAUCACACAUUUCAUUCAAAGCAAAUGCAUAUUGCAUUACACAUUGGUCAUAUAGAUGUUCAUCGUACAUUUCAAAGAUUAAGAUGCUUUUGAAAAAGCUAUUGGUUUGACCCCCUAAUUGCCACUGCUCAAUUAUGCAGGGAUUCUUGAAAGCACACAGUACUAACUACUAUUACGAAGUAGCCAUACCGACUAACUACUGAUCGUACUCCAUGGAAUACAAUUGAGUUGCACCGCAUAUCCUUUCUACAUGGUAUCAGUUUUACCGCGAUCUCCUCUCGCUUCCGCAACCCGCAGCCGUUGCACCCUCCCGUAGCUGCCGCUGCCGCCAACUCCAAACCCUAACGCCGCCGCCACUACCUCUCCCGUAGCUGCCGCCGCCUCCUCCUCCUACCCAAAACCCUACGCCGCCGCUGCUCCCUUCUUCCCACAACCGUCGUUGCUCCCGUCUCCCCAAACCCUAGUGCCGCCGCCACUGCUCUUCUACAGCCACCGGCGCCCCUUCCCUCGGCCCCCACCCAAACCCUAAGCCGCCGCCGCUACUCUCUUCCUCCUGUAACCUCCGCUGCCCCCUUCCCAUCACCCGACGCCACCAUGUCCCGCUCCAAGGCCGACCCAUCCGACGCGGGUUCUUUCGCGGUGCCAUGUUCACCUCCGACCGCCUCAAUGAACUUCACAUCAAAGACCACGUACCCGUCAUCCUCGACCUCGACUCGCCAUCCUACAACGCAUGGCGCACCUACUUCGCGCUGCUCUUCCACUCUUACCGUCUCAUCGAGCAUGUUGACGGGAGCGUCGACUUCCACGACAUGAAGGACGACGACGAGUGGCUUGCUGUGGACGCCUGCAUCGUCAAGUGGCUCUUCCUCACCAUCUCCGGCGGCCUCUUCAACAUGGUGAACUCCCGCGACCCGUCGGCGUACGCUAUGUGGACGCGGCUGUGUGACCUCUUCCCCGACAAUCAACUCCAACGCCGCGUCUUCCUUCAAGGGGAGUUCUUCACUAUGCAGCAAAACGAUCUUUCGAUCGAUGAGUAUUGCACGCGGCUGAAGGUUCUUGCCGACGAGCUGCGCGAUGUCGGCAUGAACAUCGACGACUCUGUCCUCCUCACCAACCUCCUUCGCGGCCUCCACCCCGACCUUGGCCAGUCCGCCGCCAACCUCUCCCUCGUCAUGCCGACGUACGCGAAGACAGUCACGUACCUUUGCAUGGAGGAGAAGCGCCUCCAUCACUCCGCCCGGCAGGUGACCCACGCCACACUUCACGUCGGCCUCGCCGCUGGCCACAGCGCUCUUUCAGCCCCGCCAGCGCCGCGCGCGCCUACUCCCACCCCACAACCCGCGCCCGCGCCCUCUGGUGGCCGCAAGCAGAAGGGUGGCGGGGGUCGGGGCUGCAACGCCAACACGGCGCAGCGCCCUCCCGCGACCAACGCGGCUGCUCCCCCUCUGCCGUGGCUCUCGGGGUACAAUCCUUUCUACACAUAGUGUUGAUUCAGUCGGUAAGCACUAGGCAUGCCCCACCACUACAGCCGUCAAACAUUAAUCAAAUUAUAUUUGAUCAGCAGGGCCAGUAGGCAGGGAUCAUGUCAAGUUUCAAAAAUGAAUAGGAGUGGGCCGGCCUUCACAUCGCACGCACAAGCUGCCUAGCUUCGUCGACCUUCUCUUCCAUAUUUAGUUUGGUCCUCCUAGUAGCACUGCAUAGCGUUAAGCACUAAUACUGGAGCAAGUUAAGUACUUUGUUAAUACCACUACAUAAGAACACCGCUCAACCUCUCUCUAGAAUCUUCCCGCUGCUCAAUUACUAGUGCACUACCUUGAGCCGUUCCGCUUAUUUCUCAUUGGGGGUAAUGCUAAAGAAUAUCAGGAAGAAACUGGAAUGCACACACACAAGACAUAGGUAGUUCAGCAACGUGUUAAUUAAUCACCCAAUAAUUUGACUCAAUGACACCAGGAAAAACAUAAAUAUCUGCAGCGUUAACUGGCACUUUUUUUUUGCGAGAAAAACUUUCGUUCUAUUCAUCGGUGUCAUGGCAGCACAAAGAACAACACAAGUAACAUAAAUUACAUUCAAUUUAUUUAGCAAUUAGCACACUUUUGGCUUACAUCUCACGGGCUCGAACGAAUUGAGUUUACAAAUUUAUUAACUUACUGUAACAUAAGUAAACUGGUCAGAAUGCACUUAACUUCAUCGAAGAUGGACGACGUACAUGGACGGAGAUCAUCGACGCAUGCUGGGAACUGGUGGACGUGUGGGAGUGGCACGACUACAACUUGUUGUCGCAGAAAAGGGUGGGGCUUUCGUCCUAGCCGUUCUUGAGGUCGGCGCACCUGGCUGCAGUGUCGUCGACCGGUUUGAGGCCACCGUUGCUCCUGUUGACGCUCUUGAGGUCGCAGCAGAACGAGCGGCUCUUGCUGACAUUCUUGAGGUCGCAGAAGGAGCCACCGUCACUGAUGCCGCUGACAUUCUUGAGGUCAUGGACGAAUUUGUCGUUGUUGAUGUUCUUGAGGUUGCGGACGGAUUUGUCGUUGUUGACGUUCUUGAGGUUGCAUGCUGAUUUGCAGUCGUUGAAGUUCUUGAGGUCGCGGACUGAUUUGCCGUUGUUGACGUUCUUGAGGUCGCGUGUGGAUUAGCCGUUGUUGAAGUUCUCGAGGUAGCGGGUUGAGCCGACGUUGUUGAUACUCUUGAGCGCGUGGGCGGAACUGCCAUUGCUGACGUUCUUGAUGCGGUGGAGGAAGCCACUCUUGCUGACGAUCUUGAGGCCACAGGUGUAGCCACCCUUGGUGACUUUGUUGAGGGCACGCGCGGAGCCACCAUUGUUGAUGGUCUUGAGGUAGCCGCCGGGGUUGGUGUUCUUGGGGUUGUGGGCGGACCAGUCGGUGGCCUCACCUUCUUCUGACCGAGAAACCUUCCUGGCAACAUGACUGAUCUUCUUCUUCUUCUUCUUCUUCUUCUUCUUCUUCUUCUUCUUCUUCUUCUUCUUCUUCUUCUUCGGUUGGGUUGAGCUGAGCUGAGUGAGGUGGAUGUGGUGUUUGCUUUG